GUGGGGAAUCUUCCACAAUGGACGAAAGUCUGAUGGAGCAACGCCGCGUGAGUGAAGAAGGGUUUCGGCUCGUAAAGCUCUGUUGUCGGGGACGAAUGUGCAGUAUUUGAAUAAAGUACUGUAAUGACGGUACCUGACGAGGAAGCCACGGCUAACUACGUGCCAGCAGUCGCGGUAAUACGUAGGUGGCAAGCGUUGUCCGGAAUUAUUGGGCGUAAAGGGAGCGCAGGCGGGAAGGUAAGUCGGUCUUAAAAGUGCGGGGCUCAACCCCGUGAUGGGAUCGAAACUAUCUUUCUUGAGUGCAGGAGAGGAAAGUGGAAUUCCUAGUGUAGCGGUGAAAUGCGUAGAUAUUAGGAGGAACACCAGUGGCGAAGGCGACUUUCUGGACUGUAACUGACGCUGAGGCUCGAAAGCGUGGGUAGCAAACAGGAUUAGAAACCCGUGUAGUCC
RNAcentral lists this ribosomal RNA (450 nucleotides) under uncultured bacterium. RNAcentral's name for it is "partial 16S ribosomal RNA". It matches the Rfam family "Bacterial small subunit ribosomal RNA", at positions 354 to 796 of the family's 1533-position model. The record is from RNAcentral.